CCAGACUCCUACGGGAGGCAGCAGUGAGGAAUAUUGGUCAAUGGGCGAUAGCCUGAACCAGCCAAGUCGCGUGAGGGAAGACGGCCCUAUGGGUUGUAAACCUCUUUUGUCGGGGAGCAAGGUCGCUACGUGUAGUGAUUUGAGAGUACCCGAAGAAAAAGCAUCGGCUAACUCCGUGCCAGCAGCCGCGGUAAUACGGAGGAUGCGAGCGUUAUCCGGAUUCAUUGGGUUUAAAGGGUGCGUAGGUUGUUUUAUAAGUUAGCGGUGAAAUACCGAUGCUCAACAUCGGGGCUGCCGCUAAUACUGUAGGACUAGAGAUCGGAUGCAGCAGGCGGAAUGUGUAGUGUAGCGGUGAAAUGCAUAGAUAUUACACAGAACACCGAUUGCGAAGGCAGCUUGCUAGGCCGGACCUGACACUGAUGCACGAAAGCGUGGGGAUCGAACAGGAUUAGAUACCCCAGUAC
RNAcentral lists this ribosomal RNA (464 nucleotides) under uncultured bacterium. RNAcentral describes it as "bacterial SSU rRNA". It matches the Rfam family "Bacterial small subunit ribosomal RNA", at positions 331 to 793 of the family's 1533-position model. The record is from RNAcentral.